RNAcentral lists this ribosomal RNA (358 nucleotides) under uncultured bacterium. RNAcentral describes it as "bacterial SSU rRNA". It matches the Rfam family "Bacterial small subunit ribosomal RNA", at positions 1 to 334 of the family's 1533-position model. The record is from RNAcentral.
CUAGCGACUUCAGAGUUUGAUCCUGGCUCAGGACGAACGCUGGCGGCGUGCCUAACACAUGCAAGUCGAACGAAGUUCUUAUGGAAUGCGGCUUCGGCCAAAUGAAGUUUGAGCUUAGUGGCGGACGGGUGAGUAACGCGUGAGCAACCUGCCUCUCAGAGGGGGAUAACGUUUGGAAACGAACGCUAAUACCGCAUAACGUUGUUUUGCCGCAUGACAGAACAACCAAAGGAGCAAUCCGCUGAAAGAUGGGCUCGCGUCCGAUUAGAUAGUUGGUGGGGUAACGGCCUACCAAGUCGACGAUCGGUAGCCGGACUGAGAGGUUGAUCGGCCACAUUGGGACUGAGACACGGCCCAG